This 497-nucleotide ribosomal RNA is filed under the name uncultured bacterium. Its description in RNAcentral is "partial 16S ribosomal RNA". It matches the Rfam family "Bacterial small subunit ribosomal RNA", at positions 28 to 507 of the family's 1533-position model. The record is from RNAcentral.
GAUGAACGCUGGCGGCGUGCCUAAUACAUGCAAGUCGAGCGAACAGACGAGGAGCUUGCUCCUCUGACGUUAGCGGCGGACGGGUGAGUAACACGUGGAAAACCUACCUAUAAGACUGGGAUAACUUCGGGAAACCGGAGCUAAUACCGGAUAAUAUAUUGCACCGCAUGGUUCAAUAGUGAAAGACGGUUUUGCUGUCACUUAUAGAUGGAUCCGCGCCGCAUUAGCUAGUUGGUAAGGUAACGGCUUACCAAGGCAACGAUGCGUAGCCGACCUGAGAGGGUGAUCGGCCACACUGGAACUGAGACACGGUCCAGACUCCUACGGGAGGCAGCAGUAGGGAAUCUUCCGCAAUGGGCGAAAGCCUGACGGAGCAACGCCGCGUGAGUGAUGAAGGUCUUCGGAUCGUAAAACUCUGUUAUUAGGGAAGAACAAAUGUGUAAGUAACUAUGCACGUCUUGACGGUACCUAAUCAGAAAGCCACGGCUAACUACGUG